UGGGGAAUAUUGGACAAUGGGCGGAAGCCUGAUCCAGCCAUGCCGCGUGUGUGAAGAAGGCCUUUUGGUUGUAAAGCACUUUAAGCGAGGAGGAGGCUCUUCUAGUUAAUACCUAGGAUGAGUGGACGUUACUCGCAGAAUAAGCACCGGCUAACUCUGUGCCAGCAGCCGCGGUAAUACAGAGGGUGCGAGCGUUAAUCGGAUUUACUGGGCGUAAAGCGUGCGUAGGCGGCUGAUUAAGUCGGAUGUGAAAUCCCUGAGCUUAACUUAGGAAUUGCAUUCGAUACUGGUCAGCUAGAGUAUGGGAGAGGAUGGUAGAAUUCCAGGUGUAGCAGUGAAAUGCGUAGAGAUCUGGAGGAAUACCGAUGGCGAAGGCAGCCAUCUGGCCUAAUACUGACGCUGAGGUACGAAAGCAUGGGGAGCAAACAGG
This 430-nucleotide ribosomal RNA is filed under the name Pseudomonadota bacterium. RNAcentral describes it as "Proteobacteria bacterium partial 16S ribosomal RNA". It matches the Rfam family "Bacterial small subunit ribosomal RNA", at positions 355 to 776 of the family's 1533-position model. The record is from RNAcentral. Lineage: Bacteria; Pseudomonadati; Pseudomonadota.